Molecule: long non-coding RNA, 665 nt
Organism: Chroicocephalus ridibundus (black-headed gull)
Lineage: Eukaryota; Metazoa; Chordata; Aves; Charadriiformes; Laridae
Exons: 3
Source: RefSeq, a predicted model, not a curated record
CUUCUCUGGACACGCUCCAGCACCUCAAUGGUGUUUUGUGUGGUGAGGGGCCCAAAACUGGACACAGCACUCGAGGUGGGGCCUCACCAGUGCCAGAGCAUGAAAUAAAGAUGAUGAUCCAAACGUAUAUAGUGUCCAUAUCUUUGCGUCUUGCCGAAAACAUGAGCUGGAGUUGAAGGCAGCCGGGUAUCCUGCAAACCCCGAUGAAUACAGGCAAGCCCAGCUGAACCUGAACAUCACAACUGAUGCUAACGUGGGGUUUUUUUCUUCCUUAAGUUAUAUAUGCCAAGAAAGUUCCUGACCAGAUGUUGGAGAUACAAUAACUAAUCCUCUAGCAGGUUGGCUUGGUGGCCCGCAUCCCAAUCAACCUCCAUCUGCUGCAUCCACCUGCUGAUACAGCUGCGCCAGAUGUUGUUCACACGUGUUCCAGCCUUCCUUGCUGCCAGAAAAUAAACCUCUGGGUUGCAGCAGCUCAACCGCCAACGGACCCAUAAGAGCAAAAGGGAGUUUCUGCUGCCUUUUUGGGGCAUCGCAUGAAGAAGCACAGGAAACAUUUUGAAGGAAACCUGACAUUUCCAAGGAGCUGGGCCAAGCUUUCAGCAGAGAUUUACAGCUCCAGGAAAGCGCUGGCGGUGGGUUGCAGCCGCCAAAUGGGACCAUUUCAG